GAUGAACGCUGGCGGCGUGCCUAAUACAUGCAAGUCGAACGCUGAAGGAGGAGCUUGCUCUUCUGGAUGAGUUGCGAACGGGUGAGUAACGCGUAGGUAACCUGCCUGGUAGCGGGGGAUAACUAUUGGAAACGAUAGCUAAUACCGCAUGACAACAGUUAUUGCAUGAUAACUGUUUAAAAGGGGCAACUGCUCCACUACCAGAUGGACCUGCGUUGUAUUAGCUAGUUGGUGGGGUAACGGCUCACCAAGGCGACGAUACAUAGCCGACCUGAGAGGGUGAUCGGCCACACUGGGACUGAGACACGGCCCAGACGCCUACGGGAGGCAGCAGUAGGGAAUCUUCGGCAAUGGACGGAAGUCUGACCGAGCAACGCCGCGUGAGUGAAGAAGGGUUUCGGAUCGUAAAGCUCUGUUGUAAGAGAAGAACGAGUGUGAGAGUGGAAAGUUCACACUGUGACGGUAUCUUACCAGAAAGGGACGGCUAACUACGUG
RNAcentral lists this ribosomal RNA (495 nucleotides) under uncultured bacterium. RNAcentral's name for it is "partial 16S ribosomal RNA". It matches the Rfam family "Bacterial small subunit ribosomal RNA", at positions 28 to 507 of the family's 1533-position model. The record is from RNAcentral.